GAAAUGCGAUAAGUAAUGUGAAUUGCAGAAUUCAGUGAAUCAUCGAAUCUUUGAACGCACAUUGCGCCCGCCAGUAUUCUGGCGGGCAUGUCUGUUCGAGCGUCAUUUCAACCAUCAAGCCCCCGGCUUGUGUUGGGGACCUGCGGCUGCCCGCAGGCCCUGAAAAACAGUGGCGGGCUCGCUGUCACACCGAGCGUAGUAGCAUACAUUCUCGCUCAGGGCGUGCUGCGGGUUCCGGCCGUUAAACGACCUUCAUAACCCAAGGUUGACCUCGGAUCAGGUAGGAAGACCCGCUGAACUUAAGC
Molecule: unclassified non-coding RNA, 305 nt
Filed under: plant metagenome
Description: partial contains 5.8S ribosomal RNA, internal transcribed spacer 2, and large subunit ribosomal RNA
Rfam family: 5.8S ribosomal RNA (bases 1-105)
Source: RNAcentral